RNAcentral lists this ribosomal RNA (482 nucleotides) under uncultured bacterium. Its description in RNAcentral is "partial 16S ribosomal RNA". It matches the Rfam family "Bacterial small subunit ribosomal RNA", at positions 30 to 507 of the family's 1533-position model. The record is from RNAcentral.
AUUGAACGCUGGCGGCAUGCCUUACACAUGCAAGUCGAACGGUAACGGGCCUUCGGGUGCCGACGAGUGGCGAACGGGUGAGUAAUACAUCGGAACGUGCCCGAUCGUGGGGGAUAACGAGGCGAAAGCUUUGCUAAUACCGCAUACGAUCUACGGAUGAAAGCAGGGGACCGCAAGGCCUUGCGCGGACGGAGCGGCCGAUGGCAGAUUAGGUAGUUGGUGGGAUAAAAGCUUACCAAGCCGACGAUCUGUAGCUGGUCUGAGAGGAUGAUCAGCCACACUGGGACUGAGACACGGCCCAGACUCCUACGGGAGGCAGCAGUGGGGAAUUUUGGACAAUGGGCGCAAGCCUGAUCCAGCCAUGCCGCGUGCAGGUUGAAGGCCUUCGGGUUGUAAACUGCUUUUGUACGGAACGAAAAGCCUUCUUUUAAUACAGGAGGGUCAUGACGGUACCGUAAGAAUAAGCACCGGCUAACUACGUG